GAUUCACUGGUCUUGUGGUUAUGAUUUCUGUCUAACACACAGAAGGUUCCUGGUUCGAUUCCAGGGUGAAUCA
Molecule: transfer RNA, 73 nt
Filed under: Fomitiporia mediterranea MF3/22
Lineage: Eukaryota; Fungi; Basidiomycota; Agaricomycetes; Hymenochaetales; Hymenochaetaceae
Description: tRNA-Val (AAC) (tRNA-Val-AAC-2-1)
Rfam family: tRNA
About the family: Transfer RNA (tRNA) molecules are approximately 80 nucleotides in length. Their secondary structure includes four short double-helical elements and three loops (D, anti-codon, and T loops). Further hydrogen bonds mediate the characteristic L-shaped molecular structure. tRNAs have two regions of fundamental functional importance: the anti-codon, which is responsible for specific mRNA codon recognition, and the 3' end, to which the tRNAs corresponding amino acid is attached (by aminoacyl-tRNA synthetases). tRNAs cope with the degeneracy of the genetic code in two manners: having more than one tRNA (with a specific anti-codon) for a particular amino acid; and 'wobble' base-pairing, i.e. permitting non-standard base-pairing at the 3rd anti-codon position.
Source: RNAcentral